Molecule: small RNA, 28 nt
Filed under: Bombyx mori (domestic silkworm)
Lineage: Eukaryota; Metazoa; Arthropoda; Insecta; Lepidoptera; Bombycidae
Description: ovarian small RNA-30404
Source: RNAcentral
UGAAACAUAUGAAGGUGGCCUCGUAGUA